This 800-nucleotide ribosomal RNA is filed under the name Staphylococcus succinus. RNAcentral's name for it is "bacterial SSU rRNA". It matches the Rfam family "Bacterial small subunit ribosomal RNA", at positions 29 to 813 of the family's 1533-position model. Lineage: Bacteria; Bacillati; Bacillota; Bacilli; Caryophanales; Staphylococcaceae. The record is from RNAcentral.
GGGAACAUGGCGGGGUGCCUAUACAUGCAAGUCGAGCGAACGGAUAAGGAGCUUGCUCCUUUGAAGUUAGCGGCGGACGGGUGAGUAACACGUGGGUAACCUACCUAUAAGACUGGAAUAACUUCGGGAAACCGGAGCUAAUGCCGGAUAACAUAUAGAACCGCAUGGUUCUAUAGUGAAAGAUGGUUUUGCUAUCACUUAUAGAUGGACCCGCGCCGUAUUAGCUAGUUGGUAAGGUAAUGGCUUACCAAGGCGACGAUACGUAGCCGACCUGAGAGGGUGAUCGGCCACACUGGAACUGAGACACGGUCCAGACUCCUACGGGAGGCAGCAGUAGGGAAUCUUCCGCAAUGGGCGAAAGCCUGACGGAGCAACGCCGCGUGAGUGAUGAAGGUUUUCGGAUCGUAAAACUCUGUUAUUAGGGAAGAACAAAUGCGUAAGUAACUGUGCGCAUCUUGACGGUACCUAAUCAGAAAGCCACGGCUAACUACGUGCCAGCAGCCGCGGUAAUACGUAGGUGGCAAGCGUUAUCCGGAAUUAUUGGGCGUAAAGCGCGCGUAGGCGGUUUCUUAAGUCUGAUGUGAAAGCCCACGGCUCAACCGUGGAGGGUCAUUGGAAACUGGGAAACUUGAGUGCAGAAGAGGAAAGUGGAAUUCCAUGUGUAGCGGUGAAAUGCGCAGAGAUAUGGAGGAACACCAGUGGCGAAGGCGACUUUCUGGUCUGUAACUGACGCUGAUGUGCGAAAGCGUGGGGAUCAAACAGGAUUAGAUACCCUGGUAGUCCACGCCGUAAACGAUGAG